Molecule: ribosomal RNA, 217 nt
Filed under: uncultured bacterium
Lineage: Bacteria
Description: partial 16S ribosomal RNA
Rfam family: Bacterial small subunit ribosomal RNA
Source: RNAcentral
CCCAGUUCGGACUGCAGCCUGCAACCCGGCUGCACGAAGCCGGAAUCGCUAGUAAUCGCAGAUCAGCAUGCUGCGGUGAAUACGUUCCCGGGUCUUGUACACACCGCCCGUCACACCAUGGGAGCCGGGAAUGCCCGAAGUCAGCGGCCCAAACCGGAAAGGGGGGGAGCUGCCGAAGGCAGGCCUGGUGACUGGGGUGAAGUCGUAACAAGGUACC